Molecule: transfer RNA, 76 nt
Filed under: Clostridiales bacterium
Lineage: Bacteria; Bacillati; Bacillota; Clostridia; Eubacteriales
Description: tRNA-Trp
Rfam family: tRNA
About the family: Transfer RNA (tRNA) molecules are approximately 80 nucleotides in length. Their secondary structure includes four short double-helical elements and three loops (D, anti-codon, and T loops).
Source: RNAcentral
AGGGGAGUAGCUCAAUUGGUAGAGUAGUGGUCUCCAAAACCAUUGGUUGCGUGUUCGAGCCGCGUCUCCCCUGCCA